CUUUUUUUUUUUUUUUUUUUUUGAUGGUUUGGUUUACGCACUUGGCCUAAGCAUAAUAAUGUUUGCUCAAGUUGAGGAGAUUGAAUUUUCUUAAAACUAAACAACGUACAAGAAAAUGUGUCAUUUUUCUACCGUCGCCGUUGAGCUUGAGGAUUAUGAAUAAUUACAAACACUAUCCCAAAAUCUAUUUGUCAAGCUGAAAAGGCUAUGUAGGUUUUCCUGUUUCCUGAAACAAGUACCACGUUAAUUGAAAAGGAUAACUGGACAUAUAGCAAUAAAUUCCAUAGCAGAUUGAAUCAAAAUGACUGAAGCACAAGAAAUAAACAAGGGUGUCCAUAAUACAACAGCAGAGAUGCAACAUGUGAAAUGUCAACAAAAAGCUUCUGUGUGCUUUUGUGUCCUUUAAUUGUAUCUGCAUCCUAUCUUCAUAGAUGUAUCUAGUAGUCAAGAAACAUAUAAGCAGUCGGCAAUGUUAUGGCCACGACAUGGUCAGCAGGCACCUGACUAAAGAUAUUUUAUUUGCUGUGUUUUCUACGGUAUACUCAGCGGUCAAGGCAGAAACAGUCAUAAUUGUUGACAUGUUUUAAACCAAGCAACAUUUGAAAAUUUAUUUAGUAGAUUUAGAAAUAUAUUUUUUAUUUGGUAACUAUAAUAUUAGGUUUGGUGUCGCAGUUGGUUUAAAAAAUAGGUUGAGCCGUGUUUAUGUAUUAUAAUUAGAAUAUGAUUUGUGGCUAUGUUUCGGGAAAUUCCGUUGAGUGAUUUUUUGUGCUAACAAUAAUGACUGAGAAAUUAGAGUCUCAAAAUUGACAUAGAAUUAUCAGCUUAAUAGAAACCAGUUACCAAGCAAUGAGCAGAACUUUCUUACCUCAACUACUUUAUUACAUCAUAAAAGCAAGGAAAUGUAAAAAUCAACAAGGGAUGUCUAAAUGAAUGACAAAGAUAAUAUCAUAAAAUUACAACAACAGCAGAUGAAAUCUAGGUUGCAAUUCAUCUAGGUUGCAGCUUUGCAAGUUGCAAGUCUUGUUCAUGUCAUGCUCGUAUUUAUGGCAUACCAACAUCAGCAAGAGGCGUAGAAGAUAUUUUAGUAUACUCAACUUCCCCUUGUAGUUCAAUCUCUUCACCAUGCUUCUUCUUGCACUGGAAAUAUAGGACUGUAUACCCCACAAAUUGUGACAGUCUUAAUAAACACGAGACAUUCACAAGAAACAAUCCGAAAAUUGUCUGAUUUACCAGCCAUUUGUGUCCUCUAAUAAUCCUGAAUCCUUGAAAUACAACCACAGAUAGCAGAGCAAACAUCAUAUUCAGAACGAAUCCCUGAAUCUUCAUUCCCUGAAUCAGAUCCCCCGCUUUUCCCAGUGCCUGAAUCCCGUAACAAUCUUCUUCAAUCACCGAAGUCACUAUGCCCAAAAUCCAGGUGAUCGAUAGGUACAGAUAAACGAUGUAGGCAGCAAUUCCCACCAAGUAAAUGGUGAAGAAGACCUCCUCCAUGGAAUUACUAAAGAACAUCAUGACAGGGCUAGCCACGAACAGAACCAAAAAUAUAUAGCCAAUAUCAAGAAGAGUUGUGUAAAACCCAGUGAUCAACGGCCUUUUCCAGGAUCUAAGUACUAGGAGAGCGAAAUCCUUGUUGCUUAAUGUCCUCUCAGUAUGCGAAAUGGUGGAUACUAGAAUUGUCGCAAUUAUCGACAAGAGGGAGAUGAUAUAGUAGCCAAGAAUGAAAGUAAGAUCAACAACCAGCAUAAGGCCGAAAUCUUCUUUGAGAUGGGCGAGAAUGCUGGAGAAUUCUGCGCUGUUGGCGCUGGUAAGAGGUAACAUAGACUCCCUCAUGAGCAUAUCGCGAAGUAAUGAUUUGUAGGAGAAGUUGAAAACCAAGAAGAAGAGGGAGGAAAAGAGAAGAGUCGGUAGAAUUGUUAAGGCUACGAGCUUCCCAUUCUUCGGAAGAAGUUUAAUUGACUCUUGCAAAACCAUCACAGCAGCACCAAUAGGCUGUAAAAACUCCAUUGCUGGUUCUCUUCCAAGGACUAAAAAUUUUCUUGACAAACUCUGCUUAGCUUUUGUGACUUGCAAGGCAUAAACAACUCUUUCGUCUUCUGGUCGUCGUCUGGCUUUGGGAUAGUAUUAUAUACUACUACCAAAUUCAAGUAGAAUAAGUCCUCCCGCAAUGGUUGAGACUUUUUUCGCGGAAAGGGAGUUUAAGUUCCACCCUCGGUUUUAUAAGACCGGUGACAACUAUGGAGGGAAGACUGGGUGUGAUUGAGAAUAGGUAAUAUUCGUCGAUAAUAUUGAGACUGGUUGUAAUCAGAACCAGAAAGUCUACACAAAACAUUAAUAUUCGUCGAUAAAAGAUUGAAAUCUUUCAUCUCGUUCUAUUUGUUUGGGAUAAAAAUGCUUGGGAACCGUAAAGUAUUUUAAUACUUAACUUUUGAUCUCUCAUCUAUUUUGAGUCUUAAAUUAGUCCCUCAAUAAUAAAAAAGCGUCUAAUUUUGAUACUUCAGUCCAUUUUCACCAUCAGAUCUGUCAAAAUUUUGCCCCUAUAUCUAUCAACUUAAACGGUGAGGAUGACAAAAGGAUCAAAAUUUAAUACCCUUUUUUUUUAUUGUUAACGGAUGAAUUGAAGACUUGAAAUAGAUAAUGAGCCAAAAAUCAAUAAUUAGAAUAAUUUAGAAACUCUUUAGAUAGCUUCUUACCCUAUUUGUUUGACAGGGUCUACCCUUCCAUGAAACGCAAAUCACAAAAAAAAAAAAAAUCAAGAUACCAACCAAUUAUGCCUUGCGAGUAGGGCGAGUUAGAAUUUCCAACUUUUGUGUAAAGGUCAAGAUUGUGCCAAAACCAUAGAAGGAGAAUUCAAUGCUCUGUUUCAAGAGGAUAUAGAAUAAUUUCAAAAACCUCCCCUUAGAGUUCUAAAAGUUUCACCGAGUUCCCCAAAGGUUUUCAAUAUUACACCCCCUAUUUUUUUUUCCAAGUAAAAUUGCAAAACUUUAUUGAUAGAGAACUGAAACAUAUGCAAAGUAGCAUAUACUACAACCCCACCGUUGAAGUAACAAAACAUUAUAUGUGUAUAAUGAAUCCCCUAAAAUGGCAUUAAGUUUUUUUAACAGAAAAAUAAAAUAAAAUAAAAGAAAAACCCAUACCCACUAACAUUGAACUUCCCUUCCAGGCUUCCACCACCCAAAGCUACUUCCGUCUCUUUCCCUAUGCUCUUCCUUUCUUCAUUUUGCCCUCCCCCUAAUGGUGGUACAAAUUUCAAUGGGCGUUGAAGUAGCUAGCUCAAUGGUCAGUAGCACGCUGAGGCACAAGGAUUAAAUCAGCUCAUGUCAUCUCAUUUACAAGCUGAGCUAUCAAGAAUGCCCUGUUUCAUUCCAAUUUCACAUAAGAUGCACAAAUGUUUGAUGAUUUUUCCUCUCCAACAUAUAUUAGGUACGUAGAAAAGUCAGCCUACUGUAUGAUUAGAGACAUUAUGCACAGCUUACAAUCUGGAAACAUAAUAAUGUUCACCACUGCCAGAAGUUCGUCUCACUUCCAGGUUCCAGCCACUCAGUUGGCCGCAAGAUGCUGCCUGGGAAAAUUAGUCUAAAUUCAGCAACCACCGUCAACAAAAUAACACACCAUACCAUGCAGCAAGAACAGGCAUAAACUACUCUAGUACUCUUGCCUCCUCAAAUAUUAUCAAGAGGUGAUCCGGUGAUUAUUUCCGAACUCUGGAGAACAAAUUAUUAUCACCAAUUUGUCAUUCAAAAUAAACCAUCAUUAGCAACCUUUGCUGACACUCCAGUUCUGUUUCUCUGCUUCGCUGAGUCACUUGCACUUCCCUGUCACCCUAAGGGCACCAAUUUAUGGUCGACAAUUUUUAAGCUCCCACCAGACUGGGACUUCAUUUUUAAUAAACUACAUGAUGCCAAAACAGUACUUAGAACAUAGUAAUUAAAAGUACCUGAUCUAACCAACACCUAGAAUACAAACUAACCACAGAAUAUUCGAAGCACCUCCGGACCUACUGUCAGAUAAUUGACAUGAGCCACUGGAACAGAAAAGGGACCAGAAUUCAGUUCAUUCAUAUGGUCAAUUUUGGUGUUAAUUGUAAUAAACCUCUCGGUUUAACACUUUAACCUCCUUUACCUAAAAUUGAUCAAAUAUAAUUUUUUUUUGUACCUUCAAUAAAUUGCAAGAGUUGUAAAACACUAAAAGCAUUUAAUCAAGCUCAGAACUUGUACUGAUAUACCUAAAUGGCCAAAACAAGGAGGAGUUAUUUAAAAUCAAAUUGAUCAAACUAUCCUCCAGAGAAGUAUUUAGAUACAAAGCUAAACAUAACAAGAGUAGAUCUUAAAAAAAAAAAAAAAAACACUAUGCUAAGUUGCUAACUAAAAUUACCCACUUAAGCAGCUCAGCAAAAAGCCUCUCUUAUAUAUUUCUUCUUCACGUACCUUAAUUAUUUCCUUCAUUAAAAUCCAAAAUUCCAGCAUUGCCAUCUUCAGGCCCCAACAGGCCACCAAAACUUCCCGUCAUCAUCACUGUCUCUUGACCUGGAAGCCCCAGAAUGGAGCUGAACCCGUGUUCGACAAACAGGGCAGUUGGGCUUUUUCGUAAGCCAAUUAUCCACACAAUUCAGGUGAAAUAAAUGGUUACAAUCCGGCAGCUUCCGGCUAAGCUCUCCCUCCUUGAAACCCUCCAAGCAAAUUGCACAAUCCAUUGUGGUCUGUUCUGAUGCAGAGUAGUUAAGGUGCGGGAGGAGGUCAUAGAGGUCUUGCAUGGAAUAUAAUGAGGAGGUGCGGGAAAAAGAUCGGCGGGUUUGCCGGCGUCGGCGGUGGCGGUGGACCGCUGUGGUUGUGAGGAGGAUGUGAAGGAGGACCAGGGCAGCGAAGCCUACAAAGAUCAGUAACAAAGACAGGAUGAAUGUCAUGAUGAUCCAUUUGAGGAAGAGAAAAAGGAGCUUUCUUGGGGCUGAAUCCAUCUUUCGUUUUCGAUUUUGAUGCAAUUGAUGAGGUGGCGCCGCUGGUGAUUGAGGGUCGUUCUGGCCAUGUUCAUGGGGGCGCCGGUGGUAGUUUCCUGAGAUUUCUUGGAUGAUUGGCAUGUGGUGUUGGAAUUUGUGAAUUCCUCAAUUCAAGAUUUUAGAAAUUCAGAACAAAUAAAGUUCGUGACACCUAUAUAUUUGUUGGUCUAUAAAUAUGCAGGAGGAGAAAUGGAAACGGAGGUUUUUUAAAUGGAAUGAAGUGAGAUGAGAAGAAAAGAGCUGGAAUCUUAGAGAUUAUUCAAGAGCAAAGGCCCCGUCGGUUUGUUUUGGGUUUUCUAGGCAUUUUCUUUUUUGUUCUAGGAUGGGGGUUUUUUUAUUCCUUAAAUUGGUAUGUCAUAAGGUACAACCAGUAAUGAACGAAGUACUAUUUGAUCUGCAGUGGACAGAGCAUGGUAGGUUAUACAAUUGUUUGGUCAAAAAGGUCGAAGACUUGUUUGGUUUAGGAUUAGAAAUAAUCAUAGGAUUCCGCAAAUCUUUAAUAAUAUCUUUACCCCACUAAUACAAAAGUUGAUUUGAGCCUUAAAAUCAUUCAAGUGCUUUGCUGUGAAAGUUAUCUGGGCACCAAAUGUACUUUUCCAGAUAGGAUGGCAAAAUGGAAGAGCUUUCCAGGCGUUCAAUCCGAGGAGGUAAAUAGUACCAUCCUUUACAAUUCAUCAAUUCGUAACAGUACUCUGUGAUUUGUAAAAAUGGUAACUUGUCGUCGUGCCACCACAGGCAAUUGAAAAUCAGCUUCACAUGCGAACCACCAAAAAAAGGAAAAAGAAAAAGUAUGGUUCAUUACUCAUUCAUUACCUCUUAAUGAUGAAAUUCUUGAGAACCACGCAGUCACGCACACAAAAAAAAAAAAAGGUAUUGCUCGUUACUCUCAUUCAUUACCUCGUAAUGAUGAAAUUUCGAGAAUAAGUUGAGCUGUAAAUCUUGAAUUUAUUAUCAGAAGCAAUCGGCCAAAAAACUAAUAAGCCUCUUGAUUAGUUUCAGCAUACAUCAAUUAAUUUGUUUUUUUUUUUUGGUUUUUGGUUUUUGGCCAUAUCAUCCCCCACCCCUUUUAAUACUAUCAAGUUUCAACGAACUGUAUGGCAGUUCCAGCUUCUCAGGCCUAAAAUUGUUGAAGUUUGUUUUUCUUUCUUUCUUUUUUGUUUUUUCAUCAGAUGCUUGUCGGAUUUGAUGAACACGGUUCGAGAAAAUGUUUGCCAAGCAAACACUCAACUAGUACGCUGAUUCGUAGCUGCUGGUUUCUUUAACUGACGCGUCAAGUUGCAGCCCGUUGUUUCCUGGUUGCCAGGGAUAUGGAUGCGGAUGAGGAUGGAGCAUUCACGAGAAAGCGGAAAAGACAUCUGCGGGAUUGGAAUAAAUACGUACACAUGGUAACAGUUGUAGGUUGUUUCUUUCCGCCCUUUCAUUGCCGUCGCAAGUCCCGAAGCUGUGGAUGUGAUAGCUAAUUUGUCUGUUUUUUUUUUUUUUUUUUUUUUGGUCAAUCGUCAACCCUACUCCUAUUUCUACUCUAUUCUAACCCCAUAGACCCAACUGGACCUAUGGGGGGACCGAUGGGGACAGAACCACCACCAGACCAGAUGGGUGCACCACGCACCCAUCUGGAUUUUUUGAAGAACCACAACUGUGGCAAAUUGGUGGGAGGCAAGGUUCGAACCCUUGCCUCCCACCCCACCAAAGCCUUAAAGGCUUGGUGGUGGCCAUCAGCCUAAGGCUGAUGGUUAACUAAUUUGUCUGUUUACUGGAUAGAAAAUUUGCAUGUCCGCUAGAAGAAAUUUAACGUUCAUACAAAACGCACUCGGAUAGAGCCCAUGGUAGUAUUCCAAUUUUUCACAUGAUAUAGAUUUUGUUUCAUUAUCAGAAAAUUGAACUUUUAUACUAAUUCAAGAAAAAAAAAACAAAAGAACGAAAAAUGACUAUUAUUUUGGGAUUGAGAGAGACAGUUCAUUUCGAAAUGGAAGGCGAGUUUAUGGUAUUAAAAAAAAAAUGCUCAAGUAAACGUGGUGGUUUACGGUCGCAUUUACAUCGAAUAUGUAAUAGUUGUAUUUUUUUUUGAGAUAAAAUAGAAGCUAGUAUUAUUAAUAAACUAGUCAGAAAUCGUAUAAAUUAAUGUCAAAAAAUAUAUAAAACAUGGCAUACAAAUCUAUAACUGUAGUUUUGUUUUAUCAUCUAUUGUAUACUAUAACUUUUCUUCCAUCAUAAUAUAUUUUCAGUUUUUCAUAACUCUAUAGCUCACAUAGUGGAGCACAUAAACCUAGUCUAUCUAGCCCAUGUAAAUGGUUACUAUUGUAUAUUCUUGGUUCAAAAAGUUGCCAUCAUCCUUUCUUGGACGUACGUGAUAUAUAUGAUGAUACAACAUUUGAUUUCAAAAAAGUUGCGUUCUUUUCAUGGACGGAUAUUUUAAUCAAACAAAUGUCGGGUGUACUUAGACUUCGGACAUCUUAAGGUGUUUGACGUUUAUGCAUGAAAAAGAGAUUCUUAAAUGUCGUGUCAUGGUCAAUUUAGUCCUCCACCCAGUGAAAGCAGGAGUGAGAAAAAUAGGAAAUGUUUAUCCUUCCCUUGUUUAUAUUAUCUUAGUUGGACGUGAAGCUGAAUAUGAAUCCACUACUCCAAGAUGAUCUCACAAACUCACGGCUCACAAGGGUUCAAGUUGGCUUUUCCUGAUGAUUUGUUAGAUGAUUAUUAAUUUAGUCCUUAAAUACCAUUGGGCUUCAUUUUUUAAUCCGUUUGUCAUGGAAGUUCAAGGAUGUUUGAUUUGAUGUCCUAACUUCAAGCCCAAUCGAAAGUUGUUGGGUCAGCUUCCGCCUGAAAUCUAUCCACGCUUUAAAUGGAGUUGGCAAAAUGUUCUUGUCCAAAUAUAUAACAACAACUACUGCAGAAAGAUAUGCAUCACCUUCCCCGAGAAUGAAUUCUUUGUUCAAAAAUUAGGAAUCUAUCAUAGAGUAGAGAUCCAGAAUAUAAAAACAGUGAUAGCAUUUUAAUAUAAAUCAAUCUUUGAAUUUAAUCUUAAUCUCAUUCAAAAACUUUAGAUAUACAUAUCCCAUGAAAGGUGAACACUGUUCUGAUCUCUUAAUCUCACGCGUUUAGGUUGCGUUUGUGAUGUUUAAAAUCACAGCGUUGGGGACUAUAGUCCUAAAACUUGACACAUUGUACAGCAAAAAGAGUCUGUUAGUCUAACAGGCGUUCAAUAUCCAUUGGGCACUCGUAAAAAUACAUUUUCAGUGUCAUAUUUUUAAAAAUAUUAGAUUAAUUAGGGAAAGUAAAUUAAUAUAAGGAAUGGUGGGUAAGAUUAAAUAGAAAAAGUGCAUAAAUGUAAGAAAUAAUUGUUAGUUUUAGAGAAUAUCCUCGAGCUUAUGUAUAUUUUGUUUUAUUUCAUAGCAUUAGACCUUUUCCCUAACAUAGAAUUGUUGUUUGAUCCAUAUUGGUGAACCUUCUCUCCUAUAAAAGAUUAAAAGGGGAUCAUCUGCUGUGUCUCAGUUACAUUUCACAUUCGAGUAAAUUGGUAUAGAAGAAUAAUGGCAACAAUAAAUCAAAUAUUCUUGUUCAUAGGGAUAUUGGUGAGCCUUGUUCUUGCUGCACAUGCGGAUUGUGGCUCUCCCACUUGCUACACUCUGUUUAACCGUAAGUGUUUGUAAACAAUUACAUGAAAUUCAUCAUUAAAGCUAAAAUGCAGAAGGAAAGUUUAACCUUUUAAUUUUUUUUUAAACUCCAUGUGACCUAUAUCUAUCAGGUUUUCUUACAUUACUACAAGUAGGCAUGUCAAUGGGUAGGGUCUGGGUUGGAUCUCUUUGAUCCAAUUCUAGAUCCAUUUAAUUUAGUUAAACCCAGACUCAGAUCUAGAUCCUUGUAGAUCUGAAAAAGUAAAUCCAUGUCCAAACUCUCAUUGAUUUAGGUAUCCAAUGGGUAUCCAUGGAUAUUUUCUGAACACACUAAAGUAAAAAUGUAUAAAAAAAUGUAUAGAGUUCAUAUAUAAUAUAAAUACCAUCCAAUUUUUGUUUUCAAAUAAUAAAAAUAACAUUCAAUAAGUUGAAUGCAAUAUUAUGAACUCAAAGAAAAAACUAUUAUUAACUACUUCUGUAUAUUUUCAAAAAUUUAACUGCAUUCACAUCCAAAAUUUUCAUUUAUUUGCCUUUACCUUUUCUCCUUUUCCUGAAAAAGUUUGCAUCAAUUACAAUGACAACUACAAUUAGUUUUUAAAAAAGAAAACAAUAAUAACAUAUAUAAAUAUUCAACAUUAUUAAAAAAAUGUAAUUUUGUGGAACUAAUUAGUGUUUUAUUAGGUUAAGAACGUAUCAUUUAAUCUAACAGUCAUGAAAUCUUACAUUAAAUGACCAUAGAAUAUUAGAUUAUUUUAUAAACUUACUAAUAUAUAUUAUUUAAUUAAAUAUACAUGAGUUUGGAUAGGGUCUGAUAUGAGUUUGGAUUUAGAUAUGGAUUUUAGAAACCCAGAUUCUACCCAGACCCAUGACUCUCUCACAGGGUUUGGGUCUGAUAGAAUCUGAAUUUGAAAAAUUAAAUCUAAACCCUACCAAAAUGUAUUGGAUAUGGGUAUAACUCGACCCAUGGACAUGCCUAAUUACAAGCUUGACCUCCUUUGAUUAUUUCACCUAAUUAUUCAUUUUGAUUUGAAUAAUCAGUGCUUUUUGAUGUUCUCGCUUACUUUUACAUCUAAAUUUUUAUUUUUACAUAGUUAAAAAAACACAUUUUUAGAAUUUAUCAAAGAGUAGUUUUAGCUGAUUCUGAUUAAUUCCCUGUAAUCACUUCCUAUAAUCAACUUAUCUAAAAUGUACAACAGAAAAGAACAAGCCCUACGUUCGAAAACAUGAGAUUAAGAAACCUGAAAUGAUCAAAACGAAAUUUGUUUUUGCAGCUUCAGCGUGUUGUGGGUAUGACGCCCCAACUGGUCUGAUUGCUUCUGCUAGUCCUGAAAAAUGGGAAAAUCGUGCUGCCUGUGGCAAAAGAUAUCGCAUAACUUGCACUACUGGAACCAAUCUAGGCGUGCCAGAGCCAUGCAGUGGUCAGUAAGAGUGUUGAAGUUACAGUACAGUAGUUGAUUUCUGUCCUGGUUGUCCAGCCACAUUUGAUCUCAGUCCAGAUGCAUUUGCCGUCAUUGCAGCUGUUGAUGAGGGGCGUACCCUGAUUGAAUACGAUCAGUAAGUCCAUUUACAGUAGAGGUGGCAAAAUGGGCGGAUGGGCGGGAUUUGCUUGGAUUUGAGAUGAAACCGAGUCAUAUGGGUUUGGGCCCAACCUUAUCCAUAUGUGUUUUGGGACUAACUUGGGCGGGAUUACUUUGGGAUGGGUUUAGAUUGAUCCCGCCCAAUACCCAAAUCUAUUUUCUACAUAUUUUUUUCCUUUAAUUCAUUUUUUAUUUUUUAUAUAACUUUAAUAUUUUUUAUUUAUUAAAUUUCUUUUAGUUUUAUUAAAUAAACAUACAAGUGCUUUAUAUUCAGGAUUUCCACCAAAAUUUGGAUUAACAAAUAAAGGAAAAGAUAGAUAUACAGCCAUAUUCCAACAUAUAUUAAGAUGGCCAAGGCACUUAGGGUGUUGAAUAUUUAUCCUCAUCAUUGUCCAAGGAUGACAGGGCUAAACUGACUGAAAUGUUGGAAAUUCUUGUGGAUAAUGAUUAGGAAGACUGCUAGAUUAUAUUCGCUAGUAUGACUAUAAAAAUUGUUAAAGAUAAUUUUUGAAUCUAAGACUCUGUUUGGAUUGGCUAUUUUUUCAAAAAAUAAAAUUUUCAAAUACAAUGUUACAGUAAUAUACAAUAACUCAAAAAACAUCCCAUCCACAUUAGUAUAUCAAAUAUUUAAAAAAAAAUUAUAGUAAAAUUUUUUCAUAGACACUGUUACAAUAAAAUAUUUCAAAAAUACCCCCAAAAACAGCUAAUCCAAACGGAGCCCUUGCUAUUUGAGCCCAAUGGGUACCCAAGUAUUUUCCAAAAUUUCCCAUCAAUUAAUGAGUAUAAUUGGGAUUUGUCCCAUUUUAAACCCAAUAUCAAAUUCCAAUACCCAACCCGCCCAAAGUCCCCAUGGGCAUGGGUAACCCAUUGGGACUUGGGACAAAUUGCCACCUCUAAUUUACAGUUAUUAAUUUUAUGUGGAUUAGAUUACGGAAUUAUAAUCUCGUUUAUCCCCUUCAUUCUUCAUCUUUGUUUUGCUAAUUGCAGAGUUUGAAACCUCCUACAAGCAUCAAAUGAUGAGGAUCGAAGUCAGAAGUCGAUGAUCAUAUGUCGAAGAUUCAACAAAAGUAGUAUAAGAUCAACUACAUGGAAACUGGGAACUUCUUUUAUUCUGUGUGGCAGCAUUUUUUUUUUCUUUUUUAAUGCUCUUUUGCAGUAUUGAAUUCUUUUUUUCCCACACGAUACAGUUAUUUGUGUGGGGAAAAAAAUUCCAAUAGUGACAUCAUGGAGGUAGAUAGGGUUGAUAUCAUCUGGGAGUCGAGGUUGGCUGCCUAAUUAUGGUAUUGAGAAACUGGGUCUCCGACGGCGCAAGGAGAUAAAUAUUAUUCAAUAAAUGCUACACCAUGUCCAGGAGGAAAUUGAGGAAAGUAGUCCAAGGUUGCCACAGGCAGAUAUUUCCCCCUUUUUUUUCCUUCCCAGAAAAAGAAGCACACGACCUAAAUUAUUCUAAUUCGAGAAAAAUUUCUUUGUAUAUUUCAUCUUCCUCAAUUGCCUGUUUUUUUUUUUUUUGGGUUCUCGAAAGUUAUGAAAAUCAGAAACCAACAAUUAACUCAAGAAUCAAACAUAAAUAAAAUAAAAACAAUCGACACAGCAAAUUGUCAUUAGGGUUCUACAUUUCCGUGAUAGAUUACCACUUACUUGGGAUUUCUGUUGUACAAUAGGCGAUUACUUCUCUUAAUUGAGCACUGGAAAUGGGAUAAUACCGUGCAUUAGACGCUUAAGUCCUUAAAAAUUUUGGUCCCUCUUAGCUGUAGCCUGGCCAGAAAGAAAUUCUUAGUCCUUUGGUAUUUAAGAAACUUAAGCAAUGGAUGGAAGAUACUUUUAACAUGUUAAUUAUCUACAUCAGAUUAAUAUUUUUUUUAGUUUUUCCUUAUAAAAGCAAAAUACCUUGGAAGUAACAAGAAUUUGACAUAGACGCUUACUCGUUUAUCAAGUGAAUCUAACAAAAUUAUACUGGUUAAUGACUUGAGGUCCCUUAACUAUUUGCUCAGUGUCACUCUAGCCCCCAAGUUUUAGUGGUAACUCUAUGUUUAGACCUUCAAUCUUGAAGGGGAAAAAAAAUAGGAAAUCCAUAUACAAGAAAAUUAGAUUGUUGUCUAUUAUGGGCUUCAUUUUAACGUUUUUCUUUCUUAAUUAGAGUAGCUAAUAUGUCUGUUCUAUUUUUCUCCUCACAAACUUGGAGUGGAACCAUGUUGAAAAAAUCAGAUACUAUUGCUCAAAAAAUAAAAAAUACGACAAUUAAGAGGGUUUGUUCACCACAGUAAUAGUAAACCAAAAGUUCAGGGACCAUUUGGAGUCCCUAACCAAAAUUUUAUAGACUUAGGCCACAGCCAAUCCUUUGCAACGUUUCAUCUAUAAAAGGUACAAACCUCGCCUGGUUUGCUCAUCAACCUAAAACUCAAAGAGUGAAUUGUUUCAAUUUAUAUGAUGCUUUUCGGAGAGGAGAGAAUGGGAGCCACAAUGCGAGUUGUUAUGAUGAUUGGGAUGGUGGCAAGUCUUGUUUCCAUUGCUCAUGCAGCUACGGGAACGGCCACUUUCUACACACCACCUUAUGUUCGUAAGUUUUCUGUAAACUGCUCUAUAUGUUCAUUAUUCAUAGCCAAAGAUCUAGCAAUGCUGAAGAGAAUACGUUUCGUAGCCAACGAAGUUCUAGCUAUUCUCAGGAGAUGGAUUACUUCAAAUAACUGUGCAAGUCACUUGCAAUUUUAUAGAAAGAUUUCACUAAACAUUUGCAAGCUCAGAACGUUGAAAACGGAAGCAACUGUAAUAUAUCCUCAGCUGUUACGAGUCAUGGAAGCAUUCCAUUGGCAUUGCUGCAUUUGUUAUCUGCCUUAUUAAAGCAUGACCUUAAUCCACAUGACCUAUGUUAAAUCUCGUUCAUCGCUUCUUUCUUAAACCAGCCUCUUCUUGCUAUGGCUACCAAAACAAUGGGGUGAUGAUUGCUGCUGCAAGUGACACAAUAUGGAACAAUAGGAAAGCUUGUGGGAAAACGUGCACUGUUAGAUGCACGGGACCGACAAGCCAGGGGAUCCCACAGCCAUGCAGGGGUAGUGUUGUGGUUAAAAUUGUUGAUUACUGUCCUCCCGGUUGUGCUGGAACCAUUGAUCUCUCCAAAGAAGCAUUUUCCAAAAUUGCAAAUCCAGAUGCUGGAAAAGUUAAAAUCGAAUAUAACUGGUAAGCCUCUUAUAUAUCUUGGCAAAAUUUCUCUUCAGAUAACCAUGCAGUAUUUUUUUUUUUUAAUAAUACAUAUCUUUAUUAUUAUUUUUUUGACUUUUUCAGCGUUUAAACUUUUGAUUGGAAUCAGAAAGCUCCCAGAAGUCCAAUAAAUGAUGUUUAGAAAUAAGUAGCUUCUCUGUGGGAUUUUAUAUGGUACAAGAUUUAUGUAUGAGCUACUACUGAGUAGCAUAUAUGUGUCAAAAUAUAAUAACCAGCAAAAAGCUGUCGAAGCUGUUUGGUGCAUUAUAUAAACCAGGCAAUAUUAUUCCCUUCUCCUACAAAUUGUAUGCGUUAGUAACAUAAAGAGAUAGUAAAUUCUUUCUAUCUGCCUAUCUAGAAUUGCAGCAAGAAAGGAGAAUUCAACUCAUCUUCUUAAAGUAGGAGCCAGACUUUCACCUGACUUCAUCUUAAAUCAAAGGGAUGGUGAUAAAACAAUUUUUUUUUUUUAAAAAAAAAGGGAAAAGAGCAAAGUCAGGGAGGAAGAUGUGUUUGAUUUGAUAUCCUGUUCGUGGCUGCUAUACCGUAACUCUAUAAGGCCAAAUUGUCCAAUUUCCAUGUCUCUUCUCAAGUCCUACAGUACUUGUUCUCACUUUGACUGUAAAAGGAAGAUAGUGUAGAUUGGUGAAUCAAAUAAAUUAAAUUAAUUUCAGUAGAGUAGAUUGGUUCAAUGGUUUGGUGCUGCUUGUUAAAUGUACAAAGAAAAAACAGUACAAAUUAACAGAUUGAAAAUAUCCACAAAAGCAUCAAGGGUAUAGAACUUUGACCAAUCACAUAAAUUAAUUGCAGUUGAAUUGGCACCAACAGAUAUUUCCCCUUCAAUCAUCCCAGAGCGGCCUUUUUUUGACAAAAAUUACGUACGUCGACAAUUAAUGUUGAUGAAAAUAAUUAAUGCUGGUCGACGCCCAAAUCACAAUUGACGAAACUCAUCCAUGAUUUAAUUCAUUAUCAUAUAUAUAUAUAUAUAUAUAGCAAUGACCUUCUCAUAAGCACAACUUAAUAUCAUCAGCAAAAUUAAGCUGAAGCAACACAACGGAACAAACAAUCAAACUUUAUGACAGAUUUUUCAUACACAACUAUUAUUAAAGACUUUGUUAUAGCUUUUAAGGUUAUGCAACAGAAGGGGCUUGGUUCAUUAUUUCCGGGUCAGUGCGUUAACCUGAAACUUGUUCUCGAGCAUUUUUUUUUUUAAAUCUUUUCCUUGCAUUCCAUUGACGGGUCUCAUCCCCCUUUACAGUUUUCCAUGAAAAUUACGGACAUAUAUACUAUACAGCUUGAAAUGAUAAUUACUCCUAUUAAAUAUCUUUAAUUAUUGUCAUGUAUAAAAAAUAAUUUACUAAAUUGAUAAGGACAUGGAGUGAUUAAAAAAGUCACUAAUAAUCAAGUUUACGGGCAAGGAUUAGAUAUGAAAUCUGGCAGCAAAGAUUAAUAGCAAUUUAAUUUGUCAAAGUAAAAGUAUACGGCACAAAUUAGGAAUUUCAAAAUUUUGGGGUCGGCUACCUCUGUCACACCUUUUUUUUUUUUUUUUUAAAAAUUUUCUCGUACACUCCUACUAGAUAUGCCCAUCAUAAAUGCUUGUCAUUCGAUGUAAAAUACUUUUAAAAAGUGUCCAAAAAUCUAAAAAGAUUGUGUGAAUAUCAGUUUUCAAAAUAAAAAUAAAUAAUCAACUCAGACGAUCUCAUAAUAAACUCUGAUCGAUUACUUUUUUAUCUGUCAAUUAUCAUUUAAUUGUUAUUAUUAUUAUUAUUAUUUAGUUCAAAACAGUCAACUAUCAUCAUUCACCUCCUCGUCAAAAUUGAUCACCAUUAUCUACUCUUAUAUAGCAGACGAGAUAGCUCAAUUUAGCACAUAGAGAUAUGGACAGAAAGAUCAAUGCCGUGCAUGAUGAGACACUAAAACCUGGGGAACAAUCAAAUAUCUUGACCGUUUUGCACUUCUAAUAACAACUUUUAUGUUUGUACAGAAGAAAUUUCUGCCUAUGCGGAUGGUCUAAUUAAUCUACAUACUUCUGACUUCUAAUAGCUUUUCUUGAAUUAACAAAGUGGGAAUGUGAUAAGAUCUGAGAAAUAAUGCAGUCUGAAAAUUUGAAAGGUCAGCGACGCAAUUCCAUCUUUCUUUGGAAAAACAGUCACCUAAUUGCCUAAAUGGUGGAAAAUUUGACACUAAGUUUAUAUAUAAUAUAAACUUUACAAAAAUACUACGACAUGGUCCAGUUGUCAUAUCUUCUUCCCCUCGCUAUAAAAGGCUGGUUCCCGUUCUGCGUGCAAAAUUGAGCUCAAACUCAAAGUUUACUAUUCGAAUCAUUUUGAGACAGAAGAAAAUGGAAGCCAGGAUGAGAGUUCUCAUGAUUAUUAUUGGCAUGGUGGCAAGUUUAGCUUCUGUAGCUUAUGCAAUUCCGGGGACAGCCACUUUCUAUACACCCCCCUACAGUCGUAAGUGUUUCUUUCGAUUAUUACUCAAAGCACAAGACUAGCGAAUUUGAAAAGGGCAACAUCUUUUCUCAUUUUCAUUUUCUAUAUGGGAAUUUAACACUUUGGAAGAUAUACUAUUGAUUAGAUAUGAUACACAAACGAUCACAUAGAUAUCCAUCCAUAUGUUUAUGUGCUUAUAUUGGCAUGUAUGAAACACGAUAAAUUAACACCCUUUUCCACAGUUGACUAAAAACCCUAGCUUAGAAAGGGGUUAAUGAAAUUAUUUCCUGCAUGUUUCCAAGAAAUGAAAAGAAACAAAACUUCGUGUUUUCAAUAAAGAACUUUUAAUGUCACAACUGAAGGGAAAAAUUGUGGAUGAUUUUUAAAAAUGCUUAAAGAUAUAAAAUAAAAUUAGAAAUGUAACUAGCCUAUAAGCAUGCAAGACAACUUUCAUGAAAUCUGCAGCCUGUGAAAGCUGCAAGAUUGAAGCAUGCAUGACUUUAACCUGAAAACCCAUCUCACAUAUAUGAAAUCUCUUCUCGUCAUAAACCAGCAAAUGCUUGCAUUGGCGUCCGAGUCAAUGGGACGUUGCCGUUGAUAGCUGCUGCGAGUAACGUAAUAUGGGAUAACGGGGCAGCUUGUGGAAGAAACUAUAGAGUUACUUGCACUGGAACUAAUAGCGAAGGGAUCGCACAACCUUGUAGGGGUAGUGUUGUGGUUCAAAUAAUUGAUUACUGUCCUCCGGGUUGUCGAGCAACCUUUGAUCUCUCUCAAGAAGCAUUUGCUCUCAUUGCCGAUCCAAAUGCUGGAAAAGUCAACAUAGACUAUGAACAGUAAGGGUUUUAUCUUAGCAAAUUUUCAUUUUAAUUUCAGCAAUCUAAUUUAAUCAACUUUGUUGACUCGUAUGUUGCAGGGUUUGAACUUUGAGGUGGAUCAUGUUUGAAGAGCCUUCAAAAGGCCAAUAAUUUGUAUUUAGAGAAAUAAGUAGCUAGCUACUUUCAUAUACUAUAAAAUUUAUGCUUCAGAUACUACUUUAGCAUAAAUAUACCAAAAUGUAAGAUUACAUUUAGUAAACAGGUUUGAAAUUUUCUGGUGGCUUUGGGAAACCACAAAAUGAUACAAUUCCUGUGAUAUUUAAUUAAGGAGGACAAGAGGGUGGAAUAUGCAUCAAAUAAAUUAUUUAUAAAGGAAGGAUCACAAUGCAACCAAGUCAAGAUUAUAAGAAGCAAUCCAGGACGAGACCCUUAUGUUCUGGAAUGUAUCUUUUACCAUCUCCGAUCCAAGCUCCCUUAGCGGGAAAAAGCUUGGAACACAAUCCAUUACUUCGAAGCUGGAAUUUUCAACCCCAAUGAGUGCAUUGGUGUGUUAAGGAGAAACAUCUCGAAAGAGUUUAUCAAAAAGUUCAAUAUAUAAGUCAAAAACUCAAUUCUGAUAUAAAAUCUUAAAUUAUUAGGUAUUGGAUCCUUAGGUACAUAUUAAUCGUUCUUUCUUCAUCUCUUGAAUCAAUAUAAAAUAUAAUUUUUUAUUCAUGAACCUAACACAAUGUCAACGUCUUUCAAUGUUUUUGUCCGAUUAUUGUUUUUACGGAAAUAAAAGUCAUCCCACAUCAACAAGAUUUAUCCAUCCUUGAAAAUUUUGACAAUGUGCACUACUUCAUAGUAGCAACCAACUCGAUCUAUGUGGCUCUUGUCGAUGACAAUUUCUUUACUCCACGAAUUCUUGAUACCAAAAUCCUUCAUUAUCCAAAUAGAAACUUCAAAAUCCAAACUAUUAUCGCACAUGCUUAGGUAGUCUUUGUAGACUUCCAAGCUCGUUACAUCGUCUUGUGAUAUAACACUACUACUAGAGUGUCUUAAGAGUAUUCUCUUCUUGAGACUUUACAAAAUUCUAGUUGGCUAACCACUUGAAAAAAAUGUAAAGUCUUGCAAGAAGUUGACUAUUCAGAGAACCCGAGUAAAAUGAAUAUCAUCAUUAAUUAGACACAAAUUCAGGCGCGUCAUACUCAUACCAAGAGCAAAGUUUGGGCAUAACGUGAGCUAAUACUUGCCAUUGUUUGUGCCCGUCAAUAUAACAAGUAGUGCUAUAAGAUAUAUUUUUACCAAAAAAAAAAAAAAAAAGGUGCUAUAAGAUAUAUCGGUAAAAUAUUUUUAAAAAAUAUCACAAAGAAAAAAGAAACUUCAAAUAUUACUCGAGCGAGCAUACCAAUUCUACUUUAUUCAUUUAACAAUCUCGAUCCCAAAGUUCUGAGAGAAAGAAAGCUUGAGGGCAUAUUCCAUUACUCCUAUGCAAGGGUAGCUUUCUUCGACAUAGCCAACUCCAUUCAUCUGAUCAUAAGCGCAUUUGCAUUGGAUGAAAGUCUUGGUUAUAGUAAUCUGGAUAACGUGGUAUGGUAGAUUCAAGGAAUUCUUUCCUUAAAUUGGCUAUGAGUUACAGGUUAAACUCAGAAAAGCAAUUGAACAAGUUAGUCACCAUUCAAUCAAGUAUAUAUUUUGGAGAACACCGCCAGCCCACCCACACCCCCCUCCCCCACAAAAAAAAAAGGGAAAACUUUCCUCUACUCGUUGUCAUCUUCACAGCCAGUAACAACCUUUGAGAUGUAGGUAUAUCAAAAUUGAUUGUGUGACUCAUGAUGAUGGUCCCUUAGGGCUUGGCUUAUUUGAAACUAUUCUUCUUAGCAUUUCCUCCACAGCUAUAUCAAACGCAUCUUUGAGAUUGCCAGUUCUUCCUCCAGAAAAGCUGUACGAAAUCCUUGGAAUCAUGUUAAUUACCGUGUUCCUCAUCCUCUUGAUAGCUUCUCCACUAUAUCCCUCCAAUACUUUCCUUAUCGAAGUCCCAUUCCUUACCCGAUUCCUGUGUAUAAAAACCGAGAAAGACUUCAAUUCACUGGACAUAAACAACUCGUACUGACCCACAAUCGUUUCUUUCCAGAAAAAACUGGUAUCGAACCUGCCAGCAUACAAUCAAACGUGGACCUCCUCGUAUGCGAGUCACCUCUGGGCUGCAAACAGAAGUCUGAGCUCAGAAAUAUUUCAAGAGCCGCUGUAGAGCUGUCCAAGCAAGCUGUCUUGGCACAAUCUAUAGCUUUGCAGGAAUCAGAUUCGUUGUAACAGUGAUCCAGCAGCAAAGCCCUGAAGUCGUUCUUUAUAGAUCAACGCUUUCCCCCUACAAACGUGAAGAGGUUCGUCCGUUUUCUACCUCGCACAACUUCCUGCCAUUGCUUAAUUUCGGUCACGGUCCGGGGAUGAAAUCCGGUAGGAUAGGGUACGGUAACUUCCAUUGGAUCCCCUAGGCUUCUUUCUAUUGUGAAGCUGAACAUUUUUCUCAUCAAGGGCAUGAGGAGGAAGCUUGUCCCCCAGGCUUGAUCAUCACGGACCCGUUUCAACUUUCAAGUCCCAUGAAGUUCGACCCACAGUAAGGAAAUGAUCAGAACCGUUGGAUCUCGUCCAAUAAUGCUGGUUCUUGAUCCAUUCGAGGAAAGUGUAGAAGGGUGCAUCUCGUUCUUUGGCAGUGUAGCCACUGAAUAAAAUGUUGGAGGCCGCUAGUCCAGCAUAAAAUGGGACGUAGAAUGCCUUAGCGGAUUCCGGCUCCAUGGUUCUACACUUGUAGUUGAGAAUUCGACUGUGAAAUAUAAGUUCGCUCGCUAACAUCUGGGUCCGGUACCAAGCACGAGCAAGCUCAGGCGGGACAAUGCCGGCGAGAACGGUGGUGGCUUCCGGCCCAAAUCCACCGUCGGACAGCGCCUCGCAUUGGGAUUUACGAGAGUCUAUAAUGCAGUUUUCCAGCAGUUUCUUGUUGAAAAUUGGAGGAAGGUCGGCGUAUACGUAAACCCUCCCGUAUUCACAUUGCGCUUGGUCAACAACAUCAGGAUGCUGAUCAGGAGGAGGAGGAGCAAGCAGCUGUCGAGUAAUCUGUUGUCGUUGCUGCUGCUGCGGAUGGGUGGCUGAGGAUAAUUGGUCGUCUGCCGUCGUCGUCGUCGAAACUCUGGGAGCACGAGAGGUGGUAAUAGUGAAGACUAGGACGAUAAACCAAUUUGGAAGAGCAAGAUGAGAAGGGCCCAAGCAAAUUGGGAUGAGGGUUUGACAGAGGGAAGCAUUGGGAUAUCCAUAAAUACUGUUAAGUUGGGAUAUGGAUUUGGAAGAGGGAAGCAUUGGGAUCAAUUAGUGUAGUGGGUGAGACCAUUAGUGGAACAAUGAGGCUCGAGAUUGGUAGCUUCCGUUUUUUUUUUUUUUUAAAUGAUAUGGAUGGAUGAUACAUCGGUCGUCCAGUUCAUCUUCACUGUCGAAUCACAAAAGGUUGAUAUUUGCUAGAAUAUUACUGCAAAGAAAGGAGGCAUCUUCUUCCCUAAAAAGAGCAACAAAAAAGUAAUAUUAACUGCUAACUCACUACAAAAUUUUUUUUUUAAAAAUAAAGUGUUUCAACUUCUUGGGAGUUCAUCUAUGAAUGCAAUUCAAUUUCAAAUUCUUGGCAUUGUUAAAAGAAGAAGAAGAAAAAAAGUUGCAACUCCUUGGGGAAUUCAACCCUGGAGACAAAUUGAUGGGUCAGAUAGGCACGAGUCAUGAGUUUUGUGUUGACCUCGGCCUAAAAUAUUUGGAUUCAAAGAGUGUAAAACACUGCAUUUGGCCGAGAUUGGCUCAAAACUCACGUGGGGCUUGUUAGGGUGGUUAUUUGUAUUUAACCUUUGGUGAAAACUAUCACCUAUGAAACCCCAAGAUCUUUAUGGCGAUUAUUGAGAAAUAAUUAACACAUAAUUGCGGAAGCGUACUUGAAUCCAUAUUGAUAAACUUGAUACUUGAAUCCCUAGAGAUUUGGGGUGGCCUUCCAGGUCAACAGGUAUUCACCGAUCCUUUGAGAGAAGCCUUUAGUUUCUCUCUGGUAUCUUUCCUGACGAUGGGAUAUUAGGGAAGAGCUAUUUUGUGGUAUUAGGAAAUACGACAACUAAACGAUACCUGUGACCUGGGGACCAUAACCCUAUUUAUAGGUAACAUUCCUGUUACCUUUUGGAGCCCUAUUUCAGCCCAUCAUUGAAAUAGGAGCCCAUAAGUUUCUACACAUUAAAGGGCCAACAUCCUAUUAGAUACAUUAAAUCCAAACUAUAUUUGAUCACUUUAAUUGGGUUUAACCUUAAUUGACAGUUUGCAAUACAUAAUUAUUCACAUAUAAGUCCAAUGUUGGAUUAAGGAUCCAACAGGGCUUUCAUCGUAUUCUUCGGUAAGUAAAUUAGAGUACUUUUUUAAGUCGUGUAACUUGAAGUUGCCACUUGCCAGCCUGUUGAAUCAGAAUUUGCAGGAAUAGUACAGCAUCUAUGGCCAAAUUUUGAGGUAUGUCGAUUCCCUCGAAUGGCUUAAGCCAUUAACCAACCACAAUAACUGUAUAAUGGCAACUAAGAAGUACAAAAAAGAUUAAUAGCACAUGGUGCUAUAAAGUAAUGCAUUGGUUGUCUUCACGAUGGCAUAUGAUUCUGAGAAUUAGUCAGAACUAAUUAUUAGGGAGCUGCAAAUAAUUAUUUUCCAACAAAAAUCAAGGAUGACAAUGCCAUAUUUGAGAUAUCAAAAUGAAGUUCUUCUUCUUCUUCUCUUUAUUAUUAUUGCACUACCAGGGCAUAAAUUGCACUAGCAUUUAUCAUUGUUUCUGCCCAAUACAUGAUGUAGUACUACAAGAUGUAUUUUUACAAUAUCCCAAUGAAAGAGAAACUUCCAAAAGUUGAGCCAACAUCUGUACCAAGAUUCUAGUUUAUGCUUUCCAUCAUCUGGAUCCCAAAACUCUCGAGGGAAAGAAAGGUUGGAACGUAUUC
This 21590-nucleotide long non-coding RNA is filed under the name Coffea arabica (coffee). RNAcentral describes it as "long non-coding RNA (CARA_LNC004522)". Lineage: Eukaryota; Viridiplantae; Streptophyta; Magnoliopsida; Gentianales; Rubiaceae. The record is from RNAcentral.